ACGCUGGCGGCGUGCCUAAUACAUGCAAGUCGAGCGAACAGACAAGGAGCUUGCUCCUUUGACGUUAGCGGCGGACGGGUGAGUAACACGUGGGUAACCUACCUAUAAGACUGGGAUAACUUCGGGAAACCGGAGCUAAUACCGGAUAAUAUUUCGAACCGCAUGGUUCGAUAGUGAAAGAUGGUUUUGCUAUCACUUAUAGAUGGACCCGCGGCGUAUUAGCUAGUUGGUAAGGUAACGGCUUACCAAGGCGACGAUACGUAGCCGACCUGAGAGGGUGAUCGGCCACACUGGAACUGAGACACGGUCCAGACUCCUACGGGAGGCAGCAGUAGGGAAUCUUCCGCAAUGGGCGAAAGCCUGACGGAGCAACGCCGCGUGAGUGAUGAAGGUCUUCGGAUCGUAAAACUCUGUUAUUAGGGAAGAACAUACGUGUAAGUAACUGUGCACGUCUUGACGGUACCUAAUCAGAAGGCCACGGCUAACUACGUGCCAGCAGCCGCGGUAAUACGUAGGUGGCAAGCGUUAUCCGGAAUUAUUGGGCGUAAAGCGCGCGUAGGCGGUUUUUUAAGUCUGAUGUGAAAGCCCACGGCUCAACCGUGGAGGGUCAUUGGAAACUGGAAAACUUGAGUGCAGAAGAGGAAAGUGGAAUUCCAUGUGUAGCGGUGAAAUGCGCAGAGAUAUGGAGGAACACCAGUGGCGAAGGCGACUUUCUGGUCUGUAACUGACGCUGAUGUGCGAAAGCGUGGGGAUCAAACAGGAUUAGAUACCCUGGUAGUCC
This 781-nucleotide ribosomal RNA is filed under the name uncultured bacterium. Its description in RNAcentral is "bacterial SSU rRNA". It matches the Rfam family "Bacterial small subunit ribosomal RNA", at positions 33 to 796 of the family's 1533-position model. The record is from RNAcentral.